Molecule: long non-coding RNA, 9240 nt
Filed under: Vitis vinifera (wine grape)
Lineage: Eukaryota; Viridiplantae; Streptophyta; Magnoliopsida; Vitales; Vitaceae
Description: long non-coding RNA (VVIN_LNC002428)
Source: RNAcentral
UACUUUAUUAACAAAAAUUCAUAUAUACAAUAUGGUGAUCAUGAACAUUUUUCCCCAAUCGACAUGAAAUGUCAAAGUUACUAUAAAUUAAGAAAGCUAUAAUUUAUCUAUAUAAGGGAAUUAGGUGCCAUAUAUCAAGCUACGAGCCUUACUGCAACAGAAGUCUAGCUCCCCACUUUGUUAGACCAACUCCAGUCCAUUUAUUUUCAAUUUUUCACUUUCUCCGACAGAAAGGUGCAAGCUGUGUGCCCUUCCACACAUCAGAGACAAAGUUCUAGAUACAUGCCUACAAUCCCGAUCACUGCAAUGCUCAAUAAGAGUGGUUUCAGGGUUGCAGCGACUGAGCCAAUAAUUCUGACCAGGUCCGACUAGCUAGAACCAAUGGUGGAGGUGAGAGGUAAGCACGGCAAGAUGAACAUAAAAAAUGGAUGGUCUCUAUUUAUUUUAUUUGUUGCAACCCCAAUUAAAGAAAAACAUCUUAAGUCAAUCCCCUAAACAAACCUUCCAAUUUAGGCCAUUAGUAAUUCAGCAGUGACGUGAAAGCAUAAUGGCACUGGUUUUGUGAUCUCAUAUUAGGUACAAUUACCAAAAGCGAGAAGAAUGAUAACUAUUGGUUGCUUGUAUGUGCUUGCUUUCAUGCUUAUUUUAUCUAGUCAUUGGAAGCCAUUGAUCCUUUUAAAUCCCACCUUCGAUACUUGAAGAUAUAUAUAUAUAUAGAGAGAGAGAGAGAGAGAGAUAACUAUUGGUUGCUUGUAUGUGCUUCCUUUCAUGCUUAUUUUAUCUAGUCAUUGGAAGCCAUUGAUCCUUUUAAAUCCCACCUUCGAUACUUGAAGAUAUAUAUAUAUAUAUAUAUAUAGAGAGAGAGAGAGAGAGAGAGAGAGAGAGAGAGAGAGAUAACUAUUGGUUGCUUGUUUGUGCUUGCUUUCAUGCUUAUUUUAUCUAGUCAUUGGAAGCCAUUGAUCCUUUUAAAUCCCACCUUCGAUACUUGAAGAUAUAUAUAUAUAUAUAUAUAUAUAUAUAUAUAUAUAUAUAGAGAGAGAGAGAGAGAGAGAGAGAGAGAGAGAGAGAGUAAGCUAGCUGUCCACAGAAUACCCUUCUAUCUCCCCUUUCUUAACGUCAUGUUAAAAAUUAGAUCUAGAAUCCCCGGUUGACCCGCAGUGCUGAUCUUCAAAUUUGAUCUAAAAAUUAUUGCUGUGAAAAUUCAAAGGAGCAAACUUGUACAUAUUGGACUUGAAAAUUUGAGGAUGUGUUCCAAAUGCCAGCUCCUGCAUGAUGAUGUGCUGCACAUUUCAAGACAAAGCCUAAAAAUUAAUUAAAAUCCAAAGUUUUCUUCACCUGGUAAACCACCUCAGUGACAUAUUCUUUUGGGAAGGUUCAUCUCUGUCUUGACAUUUUCAACUAUUGUAAGAAUUGAUUCGUUGAAGGAGACCAAGAACAACCAACUACAAGAGGAUCUCUGAAAUGUUGUGUGGAACAUAAAUUUUCUGAAAAUAGCAAUCUAUGUGCCAUAAAAUGUUUCAGUGGGCACUGCUUAAUGCCCGUGUAGAGAGUCUAUUCUAAGGUAUUCAUCCAAUCAAUUAAUUAUGUACACAAAAGGGGGAAAAUAAGAAAGAAUGAAUUUGCACGUUCUCUCGGUGGGCCUAUGGAUAUGAAGAAAGCAAAUUGGUGGGUAUGCAUGGAGAGUUCUUCCAUGCCCUGGCAUGCAAUCUGAGGAUAUCUCUGGUUUUCUCCUUGGUCCUGCUCCCACAAUCCACUUGAAGCACUAAACACAAUUUCGCCACAACACCCAGCUGCGACAUCUCUUGAAGAACACUUGGAGUUGCAGAGAACUUGGAAAUGGAAUACAGAAUUCUCACUGCCCGUUCACUUGCCACGUGAGAAACCCUCAGUAUCUUCUUUGACACUAUAGCCAUCCCGGCUGCAUGCUUCAACAGUUCGGCUCUUCCUUCCGCGCACCCGCAUAGCUGAUCCAACACCGUUAGGAUCAUCUCACAAGCCCUUUUUUCUGAAGAAGCGAGAAGAAGCUCUGUCAAUAUCGAAACUGCGCCGGCUUCCACUGCUUUGACCUUGUUUCUCCCCCAUGGACAAACCUCAAUUAGUAGUUUGAGUGUAGCUUUUGUGGCCUGGUGAGAUAUAUGAUCCUGCAAAACUUGCACUGCUUCCACGAAGAAUUCGGGUUUCAAGGCGAUUAAUUGUAUUGGAUCAGCAACUUGGAGCAUCGAACUCAAUAGCAUUACAGCAUAAGCUCGGGACUCGUAGUUUCCUCGUUGUAGUACUCGUACCAAGCAACCCACAAAUUCACCAUUUUUUCCCACAAGCUUCUUGAGCCCGGCUUCUGACAGUAGGAGAUAAUGGAGAAUGCUUAGAGCUUCACUGCUCGCGCUCCUGGACUCUAGCCCUUUAUCUGAUUCCUCUUCGAAUGUUGUGAAGUUGGCUUUGCUCACUAUUGAAGCUAAGAAUUCAACUGCACCGGCGGACUCAAUGCACCGCUUGUUGGCGUCGCUCUCAGCCGCAAGGGCUCGAAGUUUUCCGAUACAUUUCAUCUGCAACUGUGGAGACUUAGCAUCAUUGAGAAGCUUCACGAUCUGGAUCUUGUUGAUCGGAAUCUUGGGCGUCGGAAUACGCUCUACACCGUUUGAAGCAUGGAGAGUACACCACGCCUGAAUCAGCCGCCGGAGAGUGUGGUUGGGAGUCAGAUCGGAGUCCGCCGACAGAACCUGUUUCGUCGCAGGACAGGUGUUAUUUUUGCCGGAAAACAACCACUUCUCGAUGCUCUCCCGAUCGUACGUUAUACCCGUUGACACCGUCACCGGAUCUUUCAUAAUCUCCAAAGAAAUCGGGCAGAGGAAAAAUGGAGGAACAUCGAUUUCUUCCAUCACCCAGAAGAUGAGCUGAAUCAAGAAUCAAGUUUAAAAGAAAUCUUGAGAAAUAUCAGAGGGUAGAAUUUGAAUUUGAACUUGAAGCUGUUGAGGAUAGUUGAGAUGUUUGAAGAUGGGAGGGAUCUGGGAUGAGAGCUUUAUAAAUAGGAGUGAGAGGUUCAAAACAUGAGAAAGUCAAAACACGGAAAAUAGGAACGUUGAGAAAGUGUGUAUGAUGAGAUAGAAGACUUUUCCAAGGGCUAGGAAAGGCUCAGGAAUCACAAACUUUACCAAGUCUAUCUCAUUAUAUCUGCACGUGCCCACUCCUUUGACUUUCUCUCUCUAACUCAACUCCAUUGGAUGCCGACAAGUUGUGUUGGGGAGGACGUGUGCGCUUCUUCGAUCACUCCCUCCCCAUAGCUGUGGCCAGCUCCGUUGACUAGCCGUUGGUACAGGGAACUUACUGUGCUCCUCAUCAAUAUCAGGCUUCUGAUUGCUCCUUUCUGGGUUAAAGUCAACUUAAAUCAUUUUUGACAUUAUCAAUGAAAGGUGGUGGGUUAUUAGGGUGGUUUGCUUCUGGAAUUUUCUGCAUUAACGGUCAAAUUUAGUGCUGGUUGGAUUUGAAUUUUGAGUUCAUUUUGAUUUCUUGGCUUAAUGGUUGUGCCUUUUUAGUGCUUUAGGGAGGUAGCCUUCCUUCAAUAUUGAGUUCGUACAUGCCAACUUGGAAGGUGGUUAAUGGAAAAUUAAAUUUUUUUUUAAGUAAUUACCAUAAGACAUUGUCCAAGACACUUCAUAAUCCAUAUAAGAAAAAUUAGUUUCAGAGCCCAAACGUAAGAUCACAUGAUAUCUUGAAUUCAAUUUGAUUUGAAUUUUAUAUGUUUCUUGAAUAGGAAUAACAACAGGUGAGUUUGAGACUAUUCACCUCCAUCUCAAUUAUAUCCCAUUUAUUUAAAAUAAUUUUCAUUCUUGUCUUAUUUAAAACAUUAAAUUAGACGGGAUGGGUAUGAAAAAUUCUCAUAUCCGUCCCACCUCGUCCUAUUUAACCUUUUUUUGAAAUUUUAAAAUUUUUUUAAAUCAUUUUUAAAUUUUUUAAUUACAUUAAAAUGAAUAUAUUUUAUAAAUAAAUAAAUUAUUAUAAUUUUUUAACUUAUUUUAUUAAAAAGUAUUUUAUUAUUAUCUAUAUAUUAAAAAUAAAAAAAAUUAAAUUAAUUUUAAAAAUUAAUUUUAUAUAUAAUUUUGACAAGACAACACCCAAACCUCUCUUGAACUCAUCUCGGAUUAAAAAGAAUCUCAAACUCAUCCUAUUAGAGACAGGACAAGAUGGGACGUAUAAGAUGGGUACUUGAAAAAACUCGUUACAUUAUUGUCCUUAUCCUUGAAAUGGUUUUCUUUGUUAUAUUUUAUGCUUAGUUUUAUCCUAAAAGGCUUUCAAAACGAAAUUUACACUAUCUUAAGUUUUAUCCUAAAAUGUUUUUAAAAUAAAAAUGAUAGGCAUCUUGCCCUUAAAAAAAGAAGAAUAAUUUAAAAUAAAUGAAUAAAUAUAUGCAUAAAGGACGAAUCUAUUGAUUUUAAGACAUAUUAAGUUAUAUUAAUUUCAAUGCGGGAUAGAGCCAAACUUAGUGAAUGGGAUUUGGAUGACGAUGAUGUGAAGUGUGUUGAUAAAUAUUGGGCUUGAACACGUGCUAGAAGAAACCCACUGCUAAGUAGCACCACUAGUAGUAGAAGAAGACUGCCCGCCGGCGGAGGCUGCAGGAAGAACCGGAGAGGCAAGUCGUUCAGGAUAUUGACCGAUCGCCUUGCCUCCAAGGGUUUGGCCAGUGAUCCUGACCCUGACCCUCGUGGAAGUGCCUUGGCUGACUCCGCCACUACCUCUUCUGGGCUACACGAUGCUUCCGCUUCCAAUAUUGAUCUUGCUCUUGUUUAUGCCAACUUCCUAAACCAGAAGCCGGAGCCAAAGUCAACAGGGUUUGAAAUGCCAGAAUUGCCUUGUGAAUUCCAUCCAUCUUUCCAGCUUUCAUCAACUCUUUCAACGUCGAACACCAGCCUGGAUUCAUCACAUAUUCAAUUACCGCCGGACACUCAUUUGAGUGAGGAUAACCAGGUCUAUCUUAGUGGCUUCCACCCUAUUCACACCCAUCAUGACCAUGACUCUGCCAAUAUUUAUGGGCUGCCACCACUGCCAGGCCAAGAGGUUGCUCCUCUGGAGAUGUUGUGGCCCAUUUCUCAAGCCAUGGUUCAGAAUCAGACCUUGCACGAGACACAAUUGCCAGCUCUGCACCCAGAAGCUGCUCAACAUCCAAAUCAUGUAGCUGUCACUGCUGGUAACUGGAGCCCAUUUGAUUUGUCAUGCUACGAAACCUUCUCUCGGCCUUGAGAGAUUCCAUUUUGCUUAUUGUUUUCUUGUUUUACUUGCUAUAUAAUCUUGUAUACAAUGGAAAGCUUAUAAUGAAAUAAUUUUCAGGUGUCAACAAAUAUAUGCUUUAUAGUUAAAUUCACAAUGAUAAAUACUUCCUAAAAGAACAGCCAUGACGUUUAACUUCUGGAGAGACUAGAUGUACCCAACAGUGCCAUAUUGGGAUUUCGUUUACAGAUCAUAUGAUGUGCUUCGUAAUGGAUCAAAGAGCCUCACUACAUGAGAAAUAAUAAUAAUAAUAGUAAUAAUAUAUAUGGUUUUGGCGGGACAAGUUUGUGAAAAUAAGGUUGAACUGCUCAGGCAAUGGAGAUUGAAAAAAGAGUGUUUGAGCUAAUUGAUGAUCUAAUCUCCUUAGUCCUGUACAACCUGAGCGAUACAGAAUAUCAAUUUCAUGUUGGGAUAAUCCUAAUUAUAUAUUAAGCAAUAUAUGCUGAUUGUCUGUUGCUAAUUUUACUAGUGGAUUAGGGUUGAGGAUUUGAGACCAAAUACAAAUAGAGCUGCCACCAUCAAGUGUGGAACUGGUUGAAGAAUAAUGUGCGGGAGUGCUGUUUCUGUUCAGCUACUAAUUACUCAAAAGAAUAAGCAAUGGGGAAAUAAGCCCAUAAUGUACAUCAAGUUAACAGCCAUUCCUCUGGGACAAUUUCCUUGGAAAGCUCUCGCCUUCGGGAUUUGAUCCUCAAGCCCACUUUCGUUGAGUCUUGAGGCCAGUACAGAACAAGCAGACCUUCUCUUCCUGAGUUUCAAAGAUUGUGCCUUGAAGGACUGAAGUUCAAAUCCCAGUUCUCGAUGAGCAAAUCAUUGAUCCUAACUAAUUAAGUGAAUUAAAUUAAUCUCCUUCAUCAAAGAAGAUUGUUUCCUUGGUUAAGAAACAUUUUGCAGACCAGUGGAUAUGUAGAUUAAGACAUUACUGAAAUCAAAGAAACAUGAGAAGCAGAUUUUAAUACUUUUAUCAGAUAGUUUCCGUAACUGUAGUUCGAGGCUCUCCUGUUUCCCUAUUGACAUAGAAUUAACUUUCUGAUUGUAGAGCUAAAGAUGCCAAUAAACUAUCUGGUCCAUCUUCUCAGAAGUGUCAAAUGGAACGAAAUUAAGAAUUGCAUGCAGUGGUUUUGGUUUGUUAUGAACCAUAUAGAUGGAGCAGCUAGCAUAUAUAAAAUGCUGAGUGGGGCGACAUUUCUGGGCAUGUGGAUUAGCAAAUUUGGCUUAGAAAAUUGAAAGACUUGUUAUGAGUCAUCACCAACAUAAAACUCAGGGCAUCACACAUGAUCCCAGACAGACCCAUGAUCCAAGAAUUAAAUUGUCUUCUCAUAAACAUAUCAGUGCUGACAAACUUCUAGGGCAAAGGAACUAUUAAGUCUGAUAGAAUCGGAUAAUUAAUUGAAGCUUAAUGAUCAGUAUAAAUUAUUAUCAAGAUAAGCUUCAUGAAUAUAUUAGUUUAAUACUUGGGGGAUUUUUACGCACUAUUUUUAUACUAGUAGUACGUGUAUCCUUGUGCGCGCCAUGAAAGAGAAGCCAUUGGCAUUGGAAGAGAUGCCAUCGCCUUUCUCAUAAGAGAAGAAUGACCAUGAUCAGACAAAGAGCUUCACUAGUGAUUUGCAGUUUGGCCUUAGCAUGUUUUAGUGUAGGCAAAUCAGGAGCCUCAGCAUGGUAUCUAGAGGGCACCCCCAGUUUGACCAGCUGCCUAUAUAUGUUGUUUGAAUUUUAUCUUUCAAAGAUUCAAUUUUUUUUCUUUUGUUUUCUUCAGUUCUGUAUUUUCGCUUCACUAUGAUAAUCAAAAAGUGAAAUUUUGUGACCAACUGCAAAGGCAUCUCAAAAUCCAGGUUACUGAAAAGAGACCAAAUCUAUAUGUGUAGCGUUAUAAUAAACAAUAAGCAGACUCAAUCCUCCUAGAAAGUAGUAGUUAAAGGAGGGAACCAGUAAAGUUUAUUAGUUCAACACAGGACCGAUUUCAUUUAAGAUCAAGACAAAUAAAUUAAUUAAUUGUGGACUUAGCUCCAGAACUUUGAAUUAGUCCAAUAAUUAAGCACAUACCAUUUCUUAUUCAAAUUUGGUGGCACGUACGUCUAAGUGGCCCGCGCCGCCCCACCCCCCACCCCACCUCGAAGUGGUUGCGAUUGAGUUGACCACUGCUAACUUGCUGAUAAAUUUUUAGAAUCACUGGUAUUUCUAUGUACAACAAGGGAUGUAUAUAUGGAUCUAAUCCACCAAUUGCUUACCUGGAAAUUAAUGUGGUUUAUAGCUACCAAGCUCACCUCAUUUCUCCAUUAAAUUAAAUUAAGGAUAAUAUUAAGAAGAUAUUUGAUAUAGUUUUAUACUUAAGUUGAUUCUAAGAUAAACCAUUGAUUUAAAACUUAUCAUUUGAUAAGUUUUAUAAAAUUUAUUUUAAAUCAUCAAAUUAACAUAUUUAACUUCAUGAGUUAAAACUAAUAUUUACCUAAUUAAUUUUAAACGAUAGUUACUUUAAUCAAUUUUAAUUAAUAAAUUUAUUCGUUAAACAUUUACAUUUAAAGUAUUAUAGAUAUAUAAAAUAAUUAACCAUAAAAUAAUUAUAAUAAAAAAGAAGUCAUGGAUAUGGAAUUAUGGUUAUAAAAUAUGCUCUUAUUAGUAGAAGUGGGUAAAUGAUGUUUAAAAAAAAAUGUUAAGAAGAAGUUAACUAUUUUAACAUAAUAUUUAAAAUUAUUUUUAAUUUUUAAUUAUGAUAUUAAAUUAUUUUAUCAGACAUAUUUAAUCUAUUUAAUGAUUUAAAUUAAGUUAUCGAGUCAUUAAAUAAAUUUACCAAACAUCAUUUAAACCAAAUAGUGCUUUUUUUUUUCUCUAAGUUCAAUUAUUGGUGGAUGACAUCUUCACUUUUUUUACUUUUAUUUUGUAAAUGAAUAUACGGAUGUAACAAAUUUCAUAACAACUCGCUAGAAAAUGCUUAAAAUGUAAAACAACUGGAACAAUUUUCUCUCUUCCAUGUAGAUAUUAUCCAUUAUGGGUCUAAUAGAUCUUCAUCAACUUUAAAAUACGUCUACUUGGUUAAGCUUCGUCCCAUAUAAAUGUUAUUCCCUGUGAGCCCCGUUAGCUUUCAUGGGUUUCAAAUACAUUUAAGAUAAACUCAUACAUGGAUAGUGUUAUAAACUUUCUCUAUUUGAUGUGAGAUAUCGCAUUACCCCUCAUGCAAACGAAGGAGAUAAACAUCCCUUUUUAGGCCAAACAAAAUCUCAUACCAUGGUAAGAAUUGGUUUUAAUAUCAUUUGGAAUCACUCAUUCCUUCAAUGACGCUCAUGACAUUGGAACGUGUCUACUUUAUUAACAAAAAUUCAUAUAUACAAUAUGGUGAUCAUGAACAUUUUUCCCCAAUCGACAUGAAAUGUCAAAGUUACUAUAAAUUAAGAAAGCUAUAAUUUAUCUAUAUAAGGGAAUUAGGUGCCAUAUAUCAAGCUACGAGCCUUACUGCAACAGAAGUCUAGCUCCCCACUUUGUUAGACCAACUCCAGUCCAUUUAUUUUCAAUUUUUCACUUUCUCCGACAGAAAGGUGCAAGCUGUGUGCCCUUCCACACAUCAGAGACAAAGUUCUAGAUACAUGCCUACAAUCCCGAUCACUGCAAUGCUCAAUAAGAGUGGUUUCAGGGUUGCAGCGACUGAGCCAAUAAUUCUGACCAGGUCCGACUAGCUAGAACCAAUGGUGGAGGUGAGAGGUAAGCACGGCAAGAUGAACAUAAAAAAUGGAUGGUCUCUAUUUAUUUUAUUUGUUGCAACCCCAAUUAAAGAAAAACAUCUUAAGUCAAUCCCCUAAACAAACCUUCCAAUUUAGGCCAUUAGUAAUUCAGCAGUGACGUGAAAGCAUAAUGGCACUGGUUUUGUGAUCUCAUAUUAGGUACAAUUACCAAAAGCGAGAAGAAUGAUAACUAUUGGUUGCUUGUAUGUGCUUGCUUUCAUGCUUAUUUUAUCUAGUCAUUGGAAGCCAUUGAUCCUUUUAAAUCCCACCU